RNAcentral lists this ribosomal RNA (274 nucleotides) under uncultured bacterium. Its description in RNAcentral is "partial 16S ribosomal RNA". It matches the Rfam family "Bacterial small subunit ribosomal RNA", at positions 523 to 796 of the family's 1533-position model. The record is from RNAcentral.
AGACGAACCGCCCAAACGUUAUUCGGAAUCACUGGGCUUAAAGGGUAUGUAGGCGGCAUGGUCAGUUGGGUGUGAAAUCCCUCGGCUUAACCGAGGAAUUGCGCCCAAUACUGCCAAGCUUGAGGGAGACAGGGGUAAGCGGAACUGAUGGUGGAGCGGUGAAAUGCGUUGAUAUCAUCAGGAACACCGGUGGCGAAGGCGGCUUACUGGGUCUCUUCUGACGCUGAGAUACGAAAGCUAGGGUAGCGAACGGGAUUAGAAACCCCGGUAGUCC